Molecule: transfer RNA, 57 nt
Filed under: Capra hircus (goat)
Lineage: Eukaryota; Metazoa; Chordata; Mammalia; Artiodactyla; Bovidae
Also listed under: 1 other name
Rfam family: tRNA
About the family: Transfer RNA (tRNA) molecules are approximately 80 nucleotides in length. Their secondary structure includes four short double-helical elements and three loops (D, anti-codon, and T loops).
Source: Rfam by way of RNAcentral
UGGCUCAGAGGUUAAAGCAUCUGCCUGCAAUGUAGGAGACCCAGGUUCAAUCCCUGG